UCUUUUAUUUUUAUUAUUAUUAUUUUAAAACAGGGUAUAAUUUAAUAUUAUAUAAAAAUUAAAAAAUAAAAAGUAUUUUUUAAAAACUAACAAUGUAACAUUUUUUUUUUUUAAUAGAAAUCGUCUAAAUUUCUACAAAUUUCACAUCCCUUCCACUCUAAUCCAAAGGGAAAUCUAAAUUAGUUUCUUUUCGUUCCCGUCCUAUAAUUUCUUUUCUGUUUCUUUGCACCAUUAGUGCUCCAAACAAAGGUUUGGCUUUUGUGUUG
This 266-nucleotide unclassified non-coding RNA is filed under the name Hevea brasiliensis (rubber tree). Lineage: Eukaryota; Viridiplantae; Streptophyta; Magnoliopsida; Malpighiales; Euphorbiaceae. The record is from RNAcentral.